This 974-nucleotide ribosomal RNA is filed under the name uncultured bacterium. RNAcentral describes it as "bacterial SSU rRNA". It matches the Rfam family "Bacterial small subunit ribosomal RNA", at positions 1 to 990 of the family's 1533-position model. The record is from RNAcentral.
CGAGAAGCCCCCGGACGCUCGGAGCUUAUAAUGCAGUCGAGGGGCAGCACAGCUAGCAAUAGUGGGUGGCGACCGGCAAACGGGUGCGGAACACGUACGCAACCUCCCCGGAACAGGUGAAUAGCCUUGCGAAAGUAAGAUUAAUACACCGUACCAUACGGAUGUGGCAUCACAACCGUAUUAUAGGUAGCAAUACCGGUUCCGGAUGGGCGUGCGCCUGAUUAGGUAGUUGGUGCGGGUAACGGCCCACCAAGCCUUCGAUCAGUAACUGGUGUGAGAGCACGACCAGUCACACGGGCACUGAGACACGGGCCCGACUCCUACGGGAGGCAGCAGUAAGGAAUAUUGGUCAAUGGACGCAAGUCUGAACCAGCCAUGCCGCGUGGAGGAUGACGGCCCUCUGGGUUGUAAACUCCUUUUAUCUGGGACGAAAAACGGACUUUCUAGUUCACUUGACGGUACCAGAGGAAUAAGCACCGGCUAACUCCGUGCCAGCAGCCGCGGUAAUACGGAGGGUGCAAGCGUUAUCCGGAUUUACUGGGUUUAAAGGGUGCGUAGGUGGGCUGAUAAGUCAGUGGUGAAAUCUUCAAGCUUAACUUGGAAACUGCCAUUGAUACUAUUAGUCUUGAAUAUCCCGGAGGUAAGCGGAAUAUGUCAUGUAGCGGUGAAAUGCUUAGAUAUGACAUAGAACACCCAUUGCGAAGGCAGCUUGCUACAGGAUUAUUGACACUGAGGCACGAAAGCGUGGGGAUCAAACAGGAUUAGAUACCCUGGUAGUCCACGCCCUAAACGAUGGAUACUCGACAUCAGCGAUACACAGUUGGUGUCUGAGCGAAAGCAUUAAGUAUCCCACCCUGGGAAGUACGAUCGCAAGAUUGAAACUCAAAGGAUUUGACGGGGGUCCGCACAAGCGGUGAAGCCAUGGUGGUUUAAUUCGAUGAUACGCGAGGAACCUUACCUGGGCUAGAAUGCUA